UAAAGAGUUCUAUAACUCCCAAACCCAUGUGAACAUACCUAACGUUGCCUCGGCAGGUCGCACCUACCUUGUAGCACCUUACCCUGUAAGGCCUACCCGGGAGGUGCGGGUAAGCCUGCCGGCGGCCCACCAAACUCUGUUUGAUAUUGAAUUCUGAACCUAUAACUAAAUAAGUUAAAACUUUCAACAACGGAUCUCUUGGUUCUGGCAUCGAUGAAGAACGCAGCGAAAUGCGAUAAGUAAUGUGAAUUGCAGAAUUCAGUGAAUCAUCGAAUCUUUGAACGCAUAUUGCGCCCAUUAGUAUUCUAGUGGGCAGGACCGUUCGAGCGUCAUUUCAACCCUUAAGCCUUCGUUGCUUAGUGUUGGGAGCCUACGGCAACGUAGCUCCUCAAAGUUAGUGGCGGAGUUGGUUCACACUCUAGACGUAGUAAUUUUUUAUCUCGCCUAUUAGUUGAACUAAUACCCUGCCGUAAAACCCCCAAUUUAUCAAGGUUGACCUCGAAUCGGUUCAGACAAACUCGCUAAAUUGAAGCAUCUUAGUCAGCGAAGGAAAAGA
Molecule: ribosomal RNA, 556 nt
Filed under: fungal endophyte
Lineage: Eukaryota; Fungi
Description: eukaryotic LSU rRNA
Rfam family: 5.8S ribosomal RNA (bases 179-332)
Source: RNAcentral